RNAcentral lists this small RNA (206 nucleotides) under Arabidopsis thaliana (thale cress). Its description in RNAcentral is "ATSL250310". Lineage: Eukaryota; Viridiplantae; Streptophyta; Magnoliopsida; Brassicales; Brassicaceae. The record is from RNAcentral.
UAAAUAAAUUAAAUAACGACCCACAAACCAAAAAUUUACAAGGUAAAGACCCGUUUUCGGUGGGCUGGUUUCUUAGCCGAUCAUGUGUUCGCUGGGUCCGUGGUUUCGCGUAUCGAUUUGAUGGGGAGUUUUAUCUCAGUCUUAUCGUGCGCCUUAUUUCCGGAUAUCACAAAAAGUUUUACAAGGUGAAAACAUAUAUAAUCUAA